AACAACAAAGAAACAAAGGUAUAUUUCCCUAUACCUUGACCAAUACUAGGAUUUUAUCUACAACUCUAAAACACCACCAAUCUUCCUUUGCACUAAGGAUUUAUUCUGCUCUUUCUCUUUUUCUCCCAAAACGUCUUUCUCUCCCUAUCUCACUUUCUUUCACGUUUUAGAUUUAGGUGUAAAAUAUGCAUACCCUAUUUCCUUUUCUCCUUUUUAUCUUUCUCCACUUUAUCUCUAUCUUUUUUGUUUUAAUAAAAUCUUUCCCUGAAUCUCUAAAACCCAUUCAAGAUCAUAUUUCUUAUUUUCUUUCAACUACUUUUUAAAAUAUAUUAACAACUAACUCCUCCAAAAAGAUUCACGUAAUUUUUAACUUUAAGAUUUUUAGUUAAUUUAAUUUGCACGCUUUUACUUCUUACACCCCCUUAAUUAAUUUUUGCACUAAUUAAUUUAAGGUAGAAGACUAUUUUGCCCUUAAGAAAAUACAAAUAAAACAAAGGUUUCCCUUCACUCUCUUUCUUCAUAGAAUUGAACCCAUACACAUUCAAUCCUAAACCACCCAC
This 560-nucleotide long non-coding RNA is filed under the name Vigna radiata. RNAcentral's name for it is "long non-coding RNA (VRAD_LNC010468)". The record is from RNAcentral. Lineage: Eukaryota; Viridiplantae; Streptophyta; Magnoliopsida; Fabales; Fabaceae.